AGAAAAAGUGUGAAAAAUCAAGGAAAACAAGUGAAAAAGUGGUGAAUCCUCCGAUAAAGGCAAAGAAAUUGUACCCGAGAAUCGAUAGUCGGAGUACUCUAAAAUUCGACUUCCGAAAUACUUGCUGCAGUGGGCUGGUUCUGUGGACUAGCCUAUUAGAGGAGCACGAAACUUGGUCAUAUAUAGUACCUCGAUUGGAGAGGCGCGUAGGGUAAAUCCUGAGGUCAAACUUUAGAGUUCACUUCACACCAAACCACCAC
This is a non-coding RNA of Theobroma cacao (cacao), 260 nucleotides long. The record is from RefSeq and is a predicted model, not a curated record. NCBI's taxonomy places the organism in Eukaryota, Viridiplantae, Streptophyta, Magnoliopsida, Malvales, Malvaceae.